CCCUAGCGGCCGGCAAGGGGGAGAAACUGCUCGGUAGGGGUGGAGUUAUGAUGAGGAGGGGGGCUGCCUUGGGGAUCCGUGUGAACGCUGAAAGUGGCAUUGUCCGAGCUCCGAGGGCUUUUCCAACUCUCUGGUCCAACCCUGGGACCAUUUCGCAGAUGAGGAAACAAAGGCCCAGAGGAGGGCGUGGAGAGUGGGCCUAGGCAGAAAGAAGCAGAGCACAGACUAGAACUCAGCUGCCAAAGCUUCUGCUCCCCAAGAUCUGGACACCAGACGGAAGCAGCUUUGCCGAGGACCAACCGCGAAAGCUGUGAAGAGCGGAGGCAUGACAUUAGUGGAGAGAUCACUGCAGAGCUUCCCCAUUGCCAAGACUGCCGAUGCUCUUGGGACCAACCAGAUGAACGCAAUGGCACCCCACCCCAGCGCUGGUGAUCAAGUAUGUUCCAAAGCGAACCAAGAUGGUUUAACUGAAGCAAAGCCUCAAGAGAUGUUCCAGGGACCUUAAUGGCUGGCGGAACUGAAGUCCAAGGGUUCUGUUUUGUUGUUGUUUUUGAGACAAGCUCAUCAACACUGGCCUCAAAUUUACUUUGUAGCCAAGGGUUACUUUAAGCUUCUGUUCCUCCUGCCUCUACCCCACAAAUGCUGAGACUAUAGGUGUGAACCACCAUGCCUGGCUUCUUUGUUGCUGGGGAUUGAACCCAGGGCUUCAUGCAUGCUAGGCAAGCGUUGGGACAACUGAGCUGCAUCUUGCCCCAUCUUGAAUCAUCCAGUUCUCCAGAAAGAAGCCUGGAAUAAACCGAAUCCUGUCCUUGCUUCUGGUCAAGAGCUCCUCUGAAUAUUCCUGCCACUCACCACUCUAAAUCCCAGGGGGUUCUGCAUGUGACUGGAAGUGGCGUGCCUGCCUAGGGUGGGGGUUCUUAAACUCUGCAGUGGUGCUGAGAUGAGGGUUGCGUGAGGAGCUGCAUGGACCUUUCUCAGUUAGGGGAAGGCAGGCUUUUCGAGAGCCCUAUGGAGUUAAGCAACAGAAGUCUUAAGUGUACAGGAGUGUUCAGCUCAGUGCCUGUCCAGCAGAGAAGGGCACAUUGUGGACACUGGUCCUGGACAUACUGAGCUAAUGCUAGCCCGAGAG
Molecule: long non-coding RNA, 1129 nt
Filed under: Rattus norvegicus (Norway rat)
Lineage: Eukaryota; Metazoa; Chordata; Mammalia; Rodentia; Muridae
Description: long non-coding RNA NONRATT033663
Source: RNAcentral